CUAAGGGAGAUUUUACCCUACAUUGAUAAAUCCAUAUCAUUACCCUACUACAUUGCAAAAUGUUGAGAAACAAUGGCUGCAUCUCUCUGAGCCAGAAGAAGCAGAAAAAGUUGGGAAAUACCAUUAUGUCAAGCAUGCGGUUAUGAGUAUGGACCUCUUUUUUUGUUUAGCUGUUGAUGAGAAAGAGACAAAUCAGAUUCUGGAUCAAAACCAUAUAUAUAGACAAACCAAUGCAUGGCCAUUUCAUUCACAGAGCAACACCACAAGUUUGAAAAAAGACAGAAAGAGGAGGCUUUAACUCUGUCUUGCAUUGAUUUCAUGAGAGCUGUAAGAAUAAGCAAGCAGCUCUGAUUCCGCCCUCUUCAAUGCCAUCAAAGAGGCCACUUCUUCCAA
RNAcentral lists this long non-coding RNA (393 nucleotides) under Brassica rapa (field mustard). RNAcentral describes it as "long non-coding RNA (BRAP_LNC002639)". The record is from RNAcentral. Lineage: Eukaryota; Viridiplantae; Streptophyta; Magnoliopsida; Brassicales; Brassicaceae.